AAAACGACUCUUGGCAACGGAUAUCUCGGCUCUCGCAUCGAUGAAGAACGUAGCGAAAUGCGAUACUUGGUGUGAAUUGCAGAAUCCCGUGAACCAUCGAGUCUUUGAACGCAAGUUGCGCCCCAAGCCGUUAGGCCGAGGGCACGCCUGCCUGGGUGUCACGC
RNAcentral lists this ribosomal RNA (164 nucleotides) under Acer velutinum. RNAcentral's name for it is "5.8S ribosomal RNA". It matches the Rfam family "5.8S ribosomal RNA". Rfam says of the family: 5.8S ribosomal RNA (5.8S rRNA) is a component of the large subunit of the eukaryotic ribosome. It is transcribed by RNA polymerase I as part of the 45S precursor that also contains 18S and 28S rRNA. Functionally, it is thought that 5.8S rRNA may be involved in ribosome translocation. Lineage: Eukaryota; Viridiplantae; Streptophyta; Magnoliopsida; Sapindales; Sapindaceae. The record is from RNAcentral.